This is a long non-coding RNA of Anopheles gambiae (African malaria mosquito), 4057 nucleotides long. RefSeq lists it as uncharacterized. The transcript has 2 exons. The record is from RefSeq and is a predicted model, not a curated record. Lineage: Eukaryota; Metazoa; Arthropoda; Insecta; Diptera; Culicidae.
AGUUCACCCAUUCGCUCUGAACUCAUCGUAGCAGCAACUGGAGAGCACGAACAUACGCACACUAAUGCUGUUCUCUUUCUUAGAAAACCGAAAAAGAUUCCUUUCGAACUCUUCCGCGUAAAAAAAAAUAAAAUGAUGCUCUACUAACGCACACAUGGGCAAGCAUCUCGGAUUAUUAGCCGCCAGAAGAGAAAAAACCGCUAUCGAGGAGAAACACGCACACAAGGACAAAACGCUGUAGUUAUGCACACCGGCGUUGCUGAACGCCCAACAGUCUUAUCCAAACGAAUGAGGAGAGAAACGCCGCCUCUCUCUCUCUCUUUCAUUCUCACUGGCUCAAUGUCCGGUUGUGCCAACCCAGAGAUGCCUACCAUUCGUUCUUCUAACCGAAAAUGUAAGGUUAGGAAACAUCUAUAAAAAUUGCAUGCUUGCAUUCGCAGAACAGAUAUGGGAGAAUUUUCAGUUAGAAUGGCCUGCGUUAGAAUUGCUACCAGCAGCACUGACUGUACAGAAUAACCAUACCACAGAAUCGUCAACUUAAAAAAAAAUAAUUACAGGUGCUGUUAAACCAUGCUUGCAGCAGUUGGCUUGCUUUGAUUGAAAUUAUUUAAAUAUGUAUAGUAAAGUAAUGACUACACUGGGAUCGUCAUUAGGUCAAGUGAUUGACUGCGACCCGCGUUUUACGAUAUGUGCGAUAUAAUAUGCAAACAAUUGGAUGAACCUGCUCCAAUGGCAUGAAUGCUUCAUAAAAGCCAUAAUACAAAAAGUAAACCUGGGAAUCUGAAGGAUCAAAUGAAUAACCACAUGUGUGUGUAGUUACCAACCUCACGCGACUCUGUUACGCAAUCCUAUGUUAGAAAAAAAAAACACAUUCCUAACCAGACACAAGGAGAGAGCGCUCGGAAAACCUGCCUGUUACACUUUACUUUAGUAGGCGGGUUUGAUUGAUUCUUAGUGGUGUUAAGUUACCAGUAUUAUAAUAUUAAUACAUGUCCCUCUUUCAGAUCAAUUUCAGUCCUUUCAAGAAAGCUCUAUUUUCAUUAAUUGCGUUACACCGAAUAAUGCGAGCAAAAUAAUAAAUAUCCUGAAUGUAUUUCGGAAAUCAACAUUGAAAAUCUUCGUUUUUGAAGCACAACCAUUGCAAUCUUUUGCAUGCAAAUCAUUCGCAAAUAUUGAACCUCAGGAGGUAAAUUUAACAUUUCGUGUAUAGCUCGAGUAACACUAUAGGUAUUUAUUAUCUUAUAUCCUUCUUCUUCUAGCAAUCGACAUAAAAUAAAAUCAUUUCAUUCAUCCUUAUCUUCAUUAUAGAUAACUUUUAAUUAAUAUACGUUCCAGUACACACACCCAAUCACAUUGAUAACACUGAGCUGUUUAUAUAUUUGAUGAUUAAAUAUGCCCAGAGUCCAAGCAGAACAGUAUUGCAUUGCUCAGGCGCUACAGAUUAGGUGCAAAUGAUAAAUGAACCAAUAGCAAUAGCACUUGCAAUCAGUUUUAAAACAUAUCCUAAUAUAACAUUUAUUCAAUAUGUAUGUAACGUGUAGAGUCAGUACGACCUUCAGCAUUAGAACCAGUGUCCGGUGUACGUCAAAUUAACAUCAAUUUGAACGUUUUUCAAUGUAGCGGUGGAAAUAUAUCUAUCGAACCUCCUCGUGCACCAAUGCUUCAUCAAUAUGUUGUGUUCCCCAUGCAUAACAACAUUGGAACAGAGAUGUUCCUCUCUCAGCCACUUCCCUUACCCUUUCCGAACCCUUCUUUCCCCAUUAUGUUCAGAGACCUUUGUGUAGUUUUUCACAAAAUAAGCUGUAUUGAGUGUUCGCAACAGUGGGGAAGCCUAUAUUAUUGGCACACUCACAAACGGUCAGCAACGAACGAACACCAAGUUCUAAAAUAAAUUCCAAAGGGUGUCCCCACAUGAAACCGAACGAAUAAAAAGCUUGAUGAACUGGUCACGCGGAACGAACCCAACAGGCACAUCCUAUAUAACGCAGACAGAAACCCCUUCUAACUAGAACAUUGUGUAUUUGGUCACAAAUUCAUCAUUCUCUCGCUCUCUGCUGCUCCCUCCGAUCGACUCACGUCACGACAAGCCCCAAAACGUACGUUUUAGUUAUAUGAAAAACAUCUCUGUAAUUUGCCAUACUCGUCGUUGUAGCGUUAUAGUAUCGAUCUAUGCCGACUUAUAGACCAAUUUAUCACGGUUACCUACUUUACUACUGCCCAGUGGGACAAACCCCCACGUUUUUCUGAGUUCAGGGAGUUUAGUUUAUGCUCCUAUUUUAGUAUGGAUCUCGCCUUUUUCAUCAUUCAAGGAAUCAACCCUUUAUUUCAUUAGAGAGCUAGAUUGGAUACAUAUCAUACUCGCAGAAAGUAUCCUUCCUACCGUCCUUAUAAAUCACAAAACAGCUCAAUUCAUAUCAAUCGAUCAAUACCAAAUUUAAUGAAACUUCGUACAGCUUAAAUUGACGGAGGAAGCGACGAUAGAGCAUAACUCUAGGAAUCGUAAAUUUGGCACUUUCCUUUCUUGCUUUCUUUUUGUGGAAAUAUCGCUUUUUUCAAUGGCGCGCUGUUAUCUUUCUCUUCAAUUGCAGUGAGUGGAAUCUAUAUAUUGCAUACACAUACGUGUAACACAUAUUUAUACAUAUAUGUGUCUACAUAGAAAUGUAUAAAAUAGGUUAUACACUACUAAUGCGAAAUGGGUAACGUUUGCUUUAGUGAAUUUGAUACAUUGCAAUUAAAAAUCGUAAUUCCAGGUAUGGAGGCAUCUCUUUCCCAUUGUUUGUCGUUUGAAGCAAUGUGAAAUAAAGUUAAGUAUGCAACCUAAUAUUGUAAUAAAACUUUAGUAUUUCUUGGAGGAUACAGCACUGCUGACAUUCCGAUAUAAAUUUUGCUACAUGAUGCUCGUGUAGAAAAUAUUUAGUGCUUUAGGAAAUCGUUUCCUUUAAUAGGGUUGCAGAAGAACUUUCUACUGUUUUCAAGUUACGAAGAAAGUGGCAAAGACAAUAUACAUUUUUGAUCUGGAGGGAUGAUCUGGAAAUGGACUUGCGCAAUGAGCCAAACGCGAGUCGACCCAACCAACAUCUUCUGGCCACAGCCUACUUUUGCUGCUUAUAGCCACCCGCUAUUGGGGAUAGAUUUUGUAGUUAGCAAUUUCAUAUGUUAAAAAUUGAUGGAAACAUAUUUACAGAAACACCCGUAUGGUUGGCAAACAGGAAAUAUAAAAAAAUUGUAACGAACUUCCCUGAUUUCCAGUUCCUGAAGUAGUUAAACUUAGCCGCCGCCAUCGUGUUGCAAAUUGGCCCACGCCCAAUUUUUUUCAUCAACUACAAGCGUCGUUUUCUGUCAUUCUCAAUGUUUAGCAAAACUGUUCGCAAUCAAUAGAAUAUUUCUAGCUGUUCUGCCUAGAAACCUGGCGAAAUACAGGGCGUUGUUACAUUCGAGAAACAGAGGAACCGCACCUGACACGCGCCCAUAUCAUUUCAAGGUACAGCGCACUCCUCUCACAAGGCCAGGCAACGCAGAGGCAAGUUUCCGCGUGUGCGUGUGGGAGUUUUUUUUUCGCUGAAAUCUCUACCGCUCAUUCAACUCAUUCGCUUCAACUACCUUCAAUGGGGUGUUUAAUAUAAAUGUUUUGUAAAACAUUUACAAUUAUCAAUACAACAUACUUUUCACUGUAUUUCGUGAAGAAAACCAUGUGAUAUCGAACAAUGAAAUCAUUCCAAUAAUGCAUAAUGAGACCCAAAGAAAGCAGGCGGGCGGCCACCUAAUAACGACGACUCGUUCGUUGAGCCUCAUUUCCAAUUGCGCGAAUUUUGAUAGUGUGGUGGUGGUGGUUGCUCACCGGACACAAUUUUACUGGUACACUCAACCCAUCGCACACCUACCUUCCAUAGAAUAGUCGAAACUAAUACCACCGAAUGUAUAUCUGUGUGUGUGUGGGGUGAGUGUAUUUGUGUGAGUGUUCCGUUUGCUCAAUUCAAAUGUAGUGGUGCGAGCUGUUCUCUUUUCAAUCCUUCCUAACCGGAACAAGACGAGCACUACCACCGGAUGGAUGGAUGGA